This 844-nucleotide ribosomal RNA is filed under the name Psychrobacter sp. 803B10-1. RNAcentral's name for it is "bacterial SSU rRNA". It matches the Rfam family "Bacterial small subunit ribosomal RNA", at positions 548 to 1391 of the family's 1533-position model. The record is from RNAcentral. Lineage: Bacteria; Pseudomonadati; Pseudomonadota; Gammaproteobacteria; Moraxellales; Moraxellaceae.
GAAUUACUGGGCGUAAAGCGAGCGUAGGUGGCUUAAUAAGUCAGAUGUGAAAUCCCCGGGCUUAACCUGGGAACUGCAUCUGAUACUGUUAAGCUAGAGUAGGUGAGAGGGAAGUAGAAUUCCAGGUGUAGCGGUGAAAUGCGUAGAGAUCUGGAGGAAUACCGAUGGCGAAGGCAGCUUCCUGGCAUCAUACUGACACUGAGGCUCGAAAGCGUGGGUAGCAAACAGGAUUAGAUACCCUGGUAGUCCACGCCGUAAACGAUGUCUACUAGUCGUUGGGUCCCUUGAGGACUUAGUGACGCAGCUAACGCAAUAAGUAGACCGCCUGGGGAGUACGGCCGCAAGGUUAAAACUCAAAUGAAUUGACGGGGGCCCGCACAAGCGGUGGAGCAUGUGGUUUAAUUCGAUGCAACGCGAAGAACCUUACCUGGUCUUGACAUACACAGAAUCUUGUAGAGAUACGAGAGUGCCUUCGGGAAUUGUGAUACAGGUGCUGCAUGGCUGUCGUCAGCUCGUGUCGUGAGAUGUUGGGUUAAGUCCCGCAACGAGCGCAACCCUUGUCCUUAGUUACCAGCGGGUUAAGCCGGGAACUCUAAGGAUACUGCCAGUGACAAACUGGAGGAAGGCGGGGACGACGUCAAGUCAUCAUGGCCCUUACGACCAGGGCUACACACGUGCUACAAUGGUAGGUACAGAGGGCAGCUACACAGCGAUGUGAUGCGAAUCUCAAAAAGCCUAUCGUAGUCCAGAUUGGAGUCUGCAACUCGACUCCAUGAAGUAGGAAUCGCUAGUAAUCGCGGAUCAGAAUGCCGCGGUGAAUACGUUCCCGGGCCUUGUACACACC